RNAcentral lists this ribosomal RNA (1344 nucleotides) under uncultured bacterium. RNAcentral describes it as "16S ribosomal RNA". It matches the Rfam family "Bacterial small subunit ribosomal RNA", at positions 28 to 1378 of the family's 1533-position model. The record is from RNAcentral.
GACGAACGCUGGCGGCGUGCUUAACACAUGCAAGUCUUAACGGAAAGGCCCUGCUUUUGUGGGGUGCUCGAGUGGCGAACGGGUGAGUAACACGUGAGUAACCUGCCCUUGACUUUGGGAUAACUUCAGGAAACUGGGGCUAAUACCGGAUAGGAGCUCCUGCUGCAUGGUGGGGGUUGGAAAGUUUCGGCGGUUGGGGAUGGACUCGCGGCUUAUCAGCUUGUUGGUGGGGUAGUGGCUUACCAAGGCUUUGACGGGUAGCCGGCCUGAGAGGGUGACCGGCCACAUUGGGACUGAGGUACGGCCCAGACUCCUACGGGAGGCAGCAGUGGGGAAUAUUGCACAAUGGGCGGAAGCCUGAUGCAGCAACGCCGCGUGCGGGAUGACGGCCUUCGGGUUGUAAACCGCUUUCGCCUGUGACGAAGCGUGAGUGACGGUAAUGGGUAAAGAAGCACCGGCUAACUACGUGCCAGCAGCCGCGGUGAUACGUAGGGUGCGAGCGUUGUCCGGAUUUAUUGGGCGUAAAGGGCUCGUAGGUGGUUGAUCGCGUCGGAAGUGUAAUCUUGGGGCUUAACCCUGAGCGUGCUUUCGAUACGGGUUGACUUGAGGAAGGUAGGGGAGAAUGGAAUUCCUGGUGGAGCGGUGGAAUGCGCAGAUAUCAGGAGGAACACCAGUGGCGAAGGCGGUCCUCUGGGCCUUUCCUGACGCUGAGGAGCGAAAGCGUGGGGAGCGAACAGGCUUAGAUACCCUGGUAGUCCACGCUGUAAACGGUGGGUACUAGGUGUGGGGUCCAUUCCACGGGUUCCGUGCCGUAGCUAACGCUUUAAGUACCCCGCCUGGGGAGUACGGCCGCAAGGCUAAAACUCAAAGGAAUUGACGGGGCCCCGCACAAGCGGCGGAGCAUGCGGAUUAAUUCGAUGCAACGCGUAGAACCUUACCUGGGUUUGACAUGGAUCGGGAGUGCUCAGAGAUGGGUGUGCCUCUUUUGGGGUCGGUUCACAGGUGGUGCAUGGCUGUCGUCAGCUCGUGUCGUGAGAUGUUGGGUUAAGUCCCGCAACGAGCGCAACCCUUGUUCACUGUUGCCAGCACGUUAUGGUGGGGACUCAGUGGAGACCGCCGGGGUCAACUCGGAGGAAGGUGGGGAUGACGUCAAGUCAUCAUGCCCCUUAUGUCCAGGGCUUCACGCAUGCUACAAUGGCUGGUACAGAGAGUGGCGAGCCUGUGAGGGUGAGCGAAUCUCGGAAAGCCGGUCUCAGUUCGGAUUGGGGUCUGCAACUCGACCUCAUGAAGUCGGAGUCGCUAGUAAUCGCAGAUCAGCAACGCUGCGGUGAAUACGUUCCCGGG